Molecule: ribosomal RNA, 840 nt
Filed under: uncultured bacterium
Lineage: Bacteria
Description: bacterial SSU rRNA
Rfam family: Bacterial small subunit ribosomal RNA
Source: RNAcentral
GGAUCCGAGGUAGCAAUACUUUGGUGAGAGUGGCGCACGGGUGCGUAACACGUAUGCAACCUACCUUUAACCGGGACACAACCCACCGAAAGGUGAGCUAAUAUCCCAUAACACUGCGAAAUGGCAUCAUUUUGCAGUUAAAACUCCGGUGGUUAUUGAUGGGCAUGCGCGACAUUAGCUAGUUGGUGAGGUAACGGCCCACCAAGGCUACGAUGUCUAGGGGUUCUGAGAGGAUUAUCCCCCACACUGGUACUGAGACACGGACCAGACUCCUACGGGAGGCAGCAGUAAGGAAUAUUGGUCAAUUGGCGCAAGCCUGAACCAGCCAUGCCGCGUGAAGGAUGACGGCCCUAUGGGUUGUAAACUUCUUUUGUACGGGAAAAAACCACCGGUCGUGUAUCGGUGCUGAUGGUACCGUAAGAAUAAGCAUCGGCUAACUCCGUGCCAGCAGCCGCGGUAAUACGGAGGAUGCAAGCGUUAUCCGGAUUCAUUGGGUUUAAAGGGUGCGCAGGCGGAAUAAUAAGUCAGUGGUGAAAGCCUACAGCUUAACUGUAGAACUGCCAUUGAUACUGUCAUUCUUGAGUGUUGUUGAGGUAGGCGGAAUGUGUCAUGUAGCGGUGAAAUGCUUAGAUAUGACACAGAACACCGAUCGCGAAGGCAGCUUACCAAGCAACAACUGACGCUCAUGCACGAAAGCGUGGGGAUCAAACAGGAUUAGAUACCCUGGUAGUCCACGCCGUAAACGAUGAUCACUCGAUGUUGGCGAUACACAGUCAGCGUCUUAGCGAAAGUAUUAAGUGAUCCACCUGGGGAGUACGGUCGCAAGAUUGAAACUCAAAU